UUCAAAUGCAAGACUAAAUGCUCUAAAAGUACCUACACCAUUUUGCUAACCCAAAAAAUCUAGACACUGAGUUGGGGGAAAAGGGCUGUGUUUUCUCCCUGGAAAUUGUGUGUCAUGAAAAACUGAGAUUCCAGGGGGUAAAUAUCAAACCAAAGAAUUUAAGGACCAGCCAAGCAGCAGUGAGACAAGGGUUGAUGCAAGGAGAAAUCUGUCACAGCAUGAGACCAUCCAGAGGCUUCAAGGGGCCACCGUGUAGAAGAGGAGGAGAGCAAGAGAACUCCCUGAGGAGGAGGACCUGACCUUCUCUCAGCAGCACGGAACGAAAGAAUCGUGAUGCUUUUCAGGCCAGAAGAGAAGUAGCUCUCCACCUCCUGCACCAUGUUUUCUUUCACAGUUCCCUGACAGCCUGACCCUGGCCCAUCCUCAGAGGCGAUAAAUGAUGUACUAAUGCAACCCUGAUUAGGAAGCCAGGAGGUUAAUCUGCAGGGCUCCUUCUGGUAAAGACCAGGCCAGACUCUGCAGCACAGCUCAGCCAAGGGAUAAAGCCCAAGCCUGCAUGACCGCAGAGACUGUCUGAGGGUACAGUCUGCAGUUCUGCCUCCUAGGACCCCAUCCAUCGAAGUCGGUUUCACUCUUACGCCCACUGCUUCUUUCUUCGGCUCCUCCCUCUUUGCUUUGGUUCCAGUGAUUAAAGAUGCAAGAUACCCAGCCAUUUCCCAGCACUUCUGUAAACUGUGGAAGCCCCAGAGGAGAGGCUCAGCCCUGUUAAGCUAAGGCCUAAAGCCCUGAAGCCCAGAGAUACAAACCAUGAAACCCUUAAGACUCAGUUCACAGGAAAAAGAACUUUGUUUUUUGGUUCUGCUCUUCAUGUGAUUAAUAGGUGUCAUUGUUUGGUCUGACAACAAAGGCAUCACUGUGGAACAAGCUAACAGUUUUGCUCCCAGACAGGACCAAGAGAAAAAAUACUCCUGAUACUCAGAUCAUUUUUCUCAGAACUCAGUGCAUGGCCAUUUUUUAAGAGCAUGCGAUGGAAUUUUCAACAUCUGCAUUAAACAUAUACAGUAAAACUGAAUCUACUAGUGUGGGAAGACAGCUAACAUGUAUUACAAAAGUGUCUGUGACAUAUACUAAUUAAGAGUGGGUAAGAUCCAGAUCUGGCUUUGAAUCUCUAUUCACCCACUUACUGCUUAAAUGACCUUUUGAGACAUAGAUUAUCCUUGUGAAAUGGGGUUAAUAAUAGUCACCUUAUAGGGUUGAGUGGAGGAUUCCAUGAGAUGAUGCUAUUAAACCUCUGAGCACAGUGCGUGGCACAGAAUAAAUUGUCCCCUAGUAUUAGCAGCUGUUAUUGGUGAUCCAUGAACAUGAGGGGCAGGGAGAGGUCUGAGGCAAGACCAAAUCCACCACAUCAUCUUUGGCAUGAGGUAGGCUCUACUUUUCAAAUCUCAAUAUACCAACUUCUAAUAAUCAAUGGGUAUAUAACACAAAAAGAUUAUUAUCAGUAGGAAACAAUUGUUCAUUGUAGAUGUCUAACUGUUCCUUCAGUUAGUAGCUGCAUUUUAAAAACGUGUUCCUCCUCAGUGAAUAACACAUUUAUUUAGGAACCACUUGGUAAAGACUACAAUAAAUUGGAUUUUAAUAGUGGGCAGUUGGUUCACAUGUAAUAGGCUUUGUAGUAAAUGAAGUAAUGUUUUUUAUUCUGUCUCUCAGGAAAAUGGGAAAAUAUUUGGCUUGAACAUUUUGAAUGAUGAUAAAUCAAAUGUUAGUGGUUCUGAAUCUGGGUUAAUUUUACUUCCGCCCCCCCCCCCCCCCGGUGGACAUUUGGCAAAGUCUGGAGACAUUUUUGGUUGUCACAACUAGGAUGAGGACAGUUUCCAUCGGCAUCGAGUGGGUAGAAAUCAGGGAUGAUGCUAGACAUCCUAAAAUGCACAAGAUAUCCCCUCACCACCAAGAAUGAUCUGACCCCAAAUGUCACUAGCGCAAAGACUGAGAAAUCCGGGUGUAACCAAACCUGUGGGGCUGUGGAAGGAGUCUAAAUGGCUUCUUAUUAUGUGAGGAAAUUUAGCUACAAUUUAAAUCACUGGCAUUGAAUUGAAAUAAAUUUCACCUAAAAACUUAUUGGAGAAUCAUUAGUAAACUUUGUAGUUCUUAAUUAA
Long non-coding RNA from Orcinus orca (killer whale), 2153 nucleotides. RefSeq lists it as uncharacterized. The record is from RefSeq and is a predicted model, not a curated record. Lineage: Eukaryota; Metazoa; Chordata; Mammalia; Artiodactyla; Delphinidae. The transcript has 3 exons.